CAAUCAGAAAAUGACAACUUCUUUUCAGUGUCUUCUAAAAUCUAUUAAGUGAUAAUACAAACACCUAAUGCAAAAUAUAUCUAAAUUAAAGGUGUCUAAACCUGCAUUGUAGUGGUUCUCAGAGCCAACCUAAAUGCAAGCAACACAACAGUACUGGAUGAUCAUUCAGUGAAAUGAAUCCUGGUAUCCUCUGCUCUUCACCACUUCUCUACUUUCAGUCUGGAAUGCUUAAACACGUUAAGUGUUGUUGUGCAGACGAGCUGCCACAUCUUCAACAUGUCCUAAGCUAUGCAGCAACAAGACAUGUACCACAUAACGUAACAUUUGAAUGACUCAAGUUUCUGAGUCAAAGGUUCUUUUAAAACAUGUUAAAUGUAAACCUGGGCCAUUUUAAAGACCCUGGUAUGCUUCAGAAUAAGUGCUUGUUGGAUCAUCUAAGCGCAUCUGAAAAACCUGUUCUACUUCAGAGCUGGAGCAGGGAACGGGGCAGUCAGUCAAUAUUUGUUGUUCUAAAAUAUGCAAUCACUGCCACUUUAGGCAGUGACCGGCCAGCUGUGUGGAGGUAUUUAUAAAAAAAUAAAAUAAAAAAAAAGGCAGGGUUAGCACUUCUCUCCAAAGCAGUGAGAUGCGGUCAUGAGGAAAGUAAGUCUGAUGGCAGAUAAACUGACCUAUUCAAACAAAUAGGUAUUCUAUUUACAAGGACACAUGGCAUCGAUCAUGAUCAUCUGCAUCACCUGAAGUAAGACGGUUAAUGUUGGAGAGUUUUAUGUUCUUUCUGCCACUCAUCUCCCAGCUGAAACUACAGGGUGCUGUGCCACGCACAGACACAGCAAAUGCAGACUAUGUUGUGUGUGUGGCAAGUUCGACAAAGAACGUUCGACAAAGAACGUUCGGAUAAAGAACCGAACUUGCCACACACAACGUUACUACCAGGCCGCGGCAGUAACGGUAAAACAUAUUUUUUUUAAAGGCAACACGAUAGUCUCAAACUAUUGGUUUUUUUUUUGGUAAUUUGAUGACUUUUAGAAAAAUGAUGACCCAUCCCUAGUGCUCCGAGUGAAAACACACAGUGCCAAAGUGUUGUCUGUAGAUUCCAACAUGCAACUGUGGAAUUCCUUUAGACCGAGGCCCAGAUUCAUAAACGGAGUAAACAUUCCAGACUGAAGAGGCAGAGACACUGAGAACAGGACUGAUGCAGUAGGAACUGCCAGGCAAUGUGGUACUUGUUGCACUAGACAUCAUUCUGCUGUGAGCUAACCUCAGUAAAAAACUAUGGAGCUACAAAGUACAUGUGCUUGUUCUGACAAAAAUAAAACUCUACACAGACAUUUUCUCUGCAGUUAGAUGGACAGUCACCUGUCUCUUCUCUGAGGUAGUAAAUAAGUAGAAAUAUCAUUAAAGGCAAGUAGAGAGAACAAUGUUUGACUCUGGAAUACACCACUAGGACUUGUGUGUACCCUGUCCUUCAAUGUUGAAUUUGGAGCAUACAGCCAACUUCAACAGUGGUCAAAUCUGCCUAACGGUUACAGGUUAAAACUAUUACUAAUGAUUUUUUGCAAAAAGAUAUAUGACACAUUAGAGGUAGAAAAUUUGACCGAAUUAUAGUGUCAAUGUCUGUUGCUAGGUAAAGAGUUUAGAUUCAUAAAAUCUACCUUUAUAGUUUCAAUCUAAUGGCACAGGUAAGAGCCAAAAUAACUAGAAAGCAAAUACAAAUUAAAACAGAAACCCACAGUUCUGUGUUUGAGGGACAGAUCAAAUUCAUCCUUUUUCUUUUUUUUUAGUAAUUGUUAUUAAGUGCUUAAACCCAAUCAGGUGAUUAGACACUCUUAGAGAGGCACAACAGUAGUAUUUUAAGACAUUGGUGCAACACUUGGAGGCUGGUUACAAUCAAACAAGUCCUUCAACAUACAGUUCAUGGAAUUAAGGCAGAAAGGAGAGAAUCAUCUGAAUCUCUCAAAGAUCAUCAUUCCAAUAUCACAUCCAUCACUGUCAACUUCCAGCUGGAGGACACCUUCAUCUCCCGUACACGUGACCAUUUUCAUGAGUGGAGCAUCCAUUAUUAGAAGGCUGCUGGUUUGGAUAAAUGAUCCUUGCCAUGCUGCACUGUGGCUCUGUUAAAGGAACACCUCCUCAACUGCUUCCCUUCUCUGGCUUUUCGUAGCCUCUGCAGCAAAGAGGAGGAUGGGGCGGGGGCGGGUCACCUUUUAUUCCUAAUUAAAUCUGAUACUCUUGUGAUCCGACACCACAGCAAUGUGGAGGAAUGAGUGCCAAUAACAAUAGUGAAAUAGUAAAAGUUAGGGAAUAGGAACAAGUGCUGUCGAAGGCCUUUUGUAGAAUCUAUGCUGCAUUCUAUUCAGAAAUGAAGUCAGAAAUUCCCAGCAAGCAGGUCACAGUUACAACCUGCUCAGAUCCAGUGGUCCAGUAUGAAAAGAACAAAAAGGGCAACAGGGAGAGCUAUGAGACUUAUUUUUGCCUAAUGACCAUCCUCAUGUGCUCCAGGCCACAUUGUGUAGCUAGGGUUGCCUCCUUCCAUUACGGAAAAAAAAUGGAAAUAGGGGAGGGCUGGAUGACCUCUACUCAAAGACACGUCGAUCAACGUAUUGCAAAGCGCUUUCGUUUCUGACUAUGACACAAUGUGUCAGCAAACAGGGUGACUAGAAUAUGACAAUGACUGUGGCAAAGAUUUUACAUUUUCUGUUUCCCACAGGUUGUUUUUUUUAAGUUGUUUUUCUUUGGGGGACAGGCAGCAGUUCUGAGGUCUCUGACCUGGUUAGCAAUGUCAGCAAAUGUACAUAUCAGAGGUCACCGUUUGACCUAUUAACACGGUGGAUUCAAGGAUAAUACAACAAACAGCUGCUGCACUGCUCUCUGAGGCGGCGCUCCGACAGAGAGGCAUAAGACUCACUGAGGAUGCUGGGAGCAUCGUAGGAGGAGACAAAGAUGAGUUGUGACUAAGAGCAAGGAAAACGUCUGAA
Molecule: long non-coding RNA, 2975 nt
Organism: Anoplopoma fimbria (sablefish)
Lineage: Eukaryota; Metazoa; Chordata; Actinopteri; Perciformes; Anoplopomatidae
Exons: 2
Source: RefSeq, a predicted model, not a curated record